RNAcentral lists this transfer RNA (88 nucleotides) under Clostridia bacterium. RNAcentral describes it as "tRNA-Ser". It matches the Rfam family "tRNA". Rfam says of the family: Transfer RNA (tRNA) molecules are approximately 80 nucleotides in length. Their secondary structure includes four short double-helical elements and three loops (D, anti-codon, and T loops). Further hydrogen bonds mediate the characteristic L-shaped molecular structure. tRNAs have two regions of fundamental functional importance: the anti-codon, which is responsible for specific mRNA codon recognition, and the 3' end, to which the tRNAs corresponding amino acid is attached (by aminoacyl-tRNA synthetases). tRNAs cope with the degeneracy of the genetic code in two manners: having more than one tRNA (with a specific anti-codon) for a particular amino acid; and 'wobble' base-pairing, i.e. permitting non-standard base-pairing at the 3rd anti-codon position. The record is from RNAcentral. Lineage: Bacteria; Bacillati; Bacillota; Clostridia.
GGAGAGAUGGCAGAGCGGUCGAAUGCGGCGGUCUUGAAAACCGUUGAUGGGAAACUAUCCAGGGGUUCGAAUCCCUUUCUCUCCGCCA